UGCCUUUAAAAAGGGUCUGAAAAGCCAGUUUCUUGGUUCUACAAGCAGGGAUACAGACUGUCUGGGAAGGAGAGUGUUGCUGUAGGAUCCUCACGACUGCGUGUGUUAACCAAGAGAGUGUUCCUGUCAGGCUGGUGGGUGGGAACAGCUGCUGCUCUGGGAGAGUUGAGGUUCUUCAUGAUGGCCAGUGGGGGACAGUGUGUGAUGAUUCCUGGGACAUGAAUGACGCCCAGGUUGUGUGCAGAGAGCUGGGCUGUGGUUCUGCUGUGUUGGCUCCAGAAGGUGCUCACUUUGGCCAAGGGGAUGGAACAAUCUGACUGGAUGAUGUGGCAUGCAGUGGAUCAGAGACCUCACUGCACAGCUGUGGAUCACAAGGAUGGGGUAAAGAAAACUGUAACCACGGUGAAGAUGCUGGAGUGGUUUGCUCAGCAUUGCAGAAUGUUUCUGUCAGGCUGGUGGGCGGGAGCAGCUGCUGCUCUGGGAGAGUUGAGGUUCUUCAUGAUGGCCAGUGGGGGACAGUGUGUGAUGAUUCCUGGGACAUGAACGAUGCCCAGGUUGUGUGCAGAGAGCUGGGCUGUGGCUCUGCUGUGUUGGCUCCAGGAAGUGCUCACUUUGGCCAAGGGAAUGGAACAAUCUGGCUGGAUGAGGUGGAAUGCAAUGGAUCAGAGACCUCACUGCACAGCUGUGGAUCACAAGGAUGGGAUAACCAUGACUGUA
Molecule: long non-coding RNA, 717 nt
Organism: Acipenser ruthenus (sterlet)
Lineage: Eukaryota; Metazoa; Chordata; Actinopteri; Acipenseriformes; Acipenseridae
Exons: 3
Source: RefSeq, a predicted model, not a curated record